Molecule: ribosomal RNA, 271 nt
Filed under: Gyrinomimus cf. myersi
Lineage: Eukaryota; Metazoa; Chordata; Actinopteri; Beryciformes; Cetomimidae
Description: partial 12S ribosomal RNA
Source: RNAcentral
AUUGAUAGUACCCUACACUCUAUCCUCCCUUGAACUACUANAAUNNNUUAAAACCCAAAGGACUUAGCGGNNCUUUAAACCCAUCUAGAGGAGCCUGUUCUAGAAUCUAUAAUCCCCGUUUCAACCUCACCCCCCCUUGUUUUUCCCGCCUAUAUACCGCCGUCGUCAGCUUACCCUGUGAAGGUAAGAUAGUAAGCAAGUUGAUAUAAUCUAAAACGUCAGGUCAAGGUGUAGCAUACNNNNGGAAAGAAAUGGGCUACAUUUCCUCCCU